UUAGGAAUAUUCGCAAUGGGGGAAACCCUGAACGAGCAAUGCCGCGUGAAGGAUGACGGUCCUAUGGAUUGUAAACUUCUGUUGUUAGGGAAGAACGACCUGUAUAGGAAGUGAUACAGGAGUGACGGUACCUUUCAAGAAAGCUCCGGCUAACUACGUG
This 160-nucleotide ribosomal RNA is filed under the name uncultured bacterium. Its description in RNAcentral is "partial 16S ribosomal RNA". It matches the Rfam family "Bacterial small subunit ribosomal RNA", at positions 355 to 507 of the family's 1533-position model. The record is from RNAcentral.